CACGCUGUAAACGAUGGGUACUAGGUUUGGUAGGUCUUGACCCCUGCCGAACCGGCGCUAACGCACUAAGUACCCCGCCUGGGAAGUACGGUCGCAAGACUAAAACUCAAGGGAAUUGACGGGGGCCCGCACAAGCGGUGGAUCAUGUGGUUUAAUUCGAAGCAACGCGAAGAGCCUUACCUGGGUUUGACAUCCCUGGACCGACGUAGAGAUACGUCUUUCGUAGCAAUACGACCGGGAGACAGGUGCUGCAUGGCUGUCGUCAGCUCGUGUGGUGACAUGUUGGGUUAAGUCCCGCCACGAGCGCAACCCUUGUCCUUAGUUGCCAGCAUUAAGUUGGGCUCUCUAAGGAGACUGCCGGUGUUAAACCG
Molecule: ribosomal RNA, 371 nt
Filed under: uncultured bacterium
Lineage: Bacteria
Description: bacterial SSU rRNA
Rfam family: Bacterial small subunit ribosomal RNA
Source: RNAcentral